Molecule: ribosomal RNA, 875 nt
Filed under: uncultured bacterium
Lineage: Bacteria
Description: bacterial SSU rRNA
Rfam family: Bacterial small subunit ribosomal RNA
Source: RNAcentral
GGAGUGCUUGCACUCUGUGAAACAAGAUACAGGCUAGCGGCGGACGGGUGAGUAACACGUGGGUAACCUGCCAAGAGAUCGGGAUAACACCUGGAAACAGAUGCUAAUACCGGAUAACAACAGAUGAUGCCUAUCAACUGUUUAAAAGAUGGUUCUGCUAUCACUCUUGGAUGGACCUGCGGUGCAUUAGCUAGUUGGUAGGGUAACGGCCUACCAAGGCGAUGAUGCAUAGCCGAGUUGAGAGACUGAUCGGCCACAUUGGGACUGAGACACGGCCCAAACUCCUACGGGAGGCAGCAGUAGGGAAUCUUCCACAAUGGACGCAAGUCUGAUGGAGCAACGCCGCGUGAGUGAAGAAGGGUUUCGGCUCGUAAAGCUCUGUUGUUGGUGAAGAAGGACAGGGGUAGUAACUGACCUUUGUUUGACGGUAAUCAAUUAGAAAGUCACGGCUAACUACGUGCCAGCAGCCGCGGUAAUACGUAGGUGGCAAGCGUUGUCCGGAUUUAUUGGGCGUAAAGCGAGUGCAGGCGGCUCGAUAAGUCUGAUGUGAAAGCCUUCGGCUCAACCGGAGAAUUGCAUCAGAAACUGUCGAGCUUGAGUACAGAAGAGGAGAGUGGAACUCCAUGUGUAGCGGUGAAAUGCGUAGAUAUAUGGAAGAACACCGGUGGCGAAGGCGGCUCUCUGGUCUGUUACUGACGCUGAGGCUCGAAAGCAUGGGUAGCGAACAGGAUUAGAUACCCUGGUAGUCCAUGCCGUAAACGACGAGUGCUAAGUGUUGGGAGGUUUCCGCCUCUCAGUGCUGCAGCUAACGCAUUAAGCACUCCGCCUGGGGAGUACGACCGCAAGGUUGAAACUCAAAGGAAUUGACGGGGGCC